RNAcentral lists this long non-coding RNA (324 nucleotides) under Pan troglodytes (chimpanzee). RNAcentral's name for it is "long non-coding RNA NONPTRT013214". The record is from RNAcentral. Lineage: Eukaryota; Metazoa; Chordata; Mammalia; Primates; Hominidae.
UAUUAUUUUAAACAAAAUAUUAUCUGUCUCAAGAAUAAUAAAAUAUUUUAUUUUGCCUUCAUUUAUUCUUCUCUAAGGCUCAGGCCUCACUUCAAGGCUUUCCAUAAACUACACACCUAAGGUAAACAUCACUAUGUUGGCAUGAUAAUAAGUUAAAUAGAUCAAUAAAAAAAAUAAAUAAUAUAGUGUAGUGGUAUCUCCUUGUUAUUUUAAUUUGCAUUUCCCUGAUUUCACAUAAUGUAGCGCAUCUUCAAUGUUGAAAACUUGAAUCAUUAAUUCUAUAGCUGUAGAUAUUUUAGAAUUUUCUAUGUAAAAAACCAUGUG